GACGAACCGAGCGAACGUUGUUCGGAAUCACUGGGCUUAAAGGGUGCGUAGGCGGGCUGCCAAGUUUGAGGUGAAAUCCUCCGGCUCAACCGGGGAAGUGCCUUGAAUACUGGCGGUCUGGAGGGAGGUAGGGGCGUGCGGAACUAACGGUGGAGCGGUGAAAUGCGUUGAUAUCGUUAGGAACUCCGGUGGCGAAGGCGGCACGCUAGACCUCUUCUGACGCUGAGGCACGAAAGCCAGGGGAGCAAACAGG
This 253-nucleotide ribosomal RNA is filed under the name uncultured bacterium. RNAcentral describes it as "partial 16S ribosomal RNA". It matches the Rfam family "Bacterial small subunit ribosomal RNA", at positions 524 to 776 of the family's 1533-position model. The record is from RNAcentral.